GACAGAGGUGCCAAGCGUUAGGCGGAAUCACUGGGCUUAAAGCGUGUGUAGGCGGAAUUGUAAGUACCUUGUGAAAUCCCACGGCUCAACCGUGGAACUGCUUGGUAUACUGGUUGUCUUGAGGCACUCAGGGGCGAGCGGAACAGAUGGUGGAGCGGUGAAAUGCGUAGAUAUCAUCUGGAACGCCAAUGGUGAAGACAGCUCGCUGGGGGGUGUACUGACACUGAGACACGAAAGCCAGGGGAGCAAACGGG
Molecule: ribosomal RNA, 254 nt
Filed under: uncultured bacterium
Lineage: Bacteria
Description: partial 16S ribosomal RNA
Rfam family: Bacterial small subunit ribosomal RNA
Source: RNAcentral